AUUGAACGCUGGCGGCAUGCCUUACACAUGCAAGUCGAACGGCAGCACGGGUGCUUGCACCUGGUGGCGAGUGGCGAACGGGUGAGUAAUACAUCGGAACGUACCUUAUCGUGGGGGAUAACGCAGCGAAAGCUGUGCUAAUACCGCAUACGCCCUGAGGGGGAAAGCGGGGGAUCGCAAGACCUCGCGCGAGUAGAGCGGCCGAUGCCUGAUUAGCUUGUUGGUGGGGUAAAAGCCCACCAAGGCGACGAUCAGUAGCUGGUCUGAGAGGAAGAUCAGCCACACUGGGACUGAGACACGGCCCAGACUCCUACGGGAGGCAGCAGUGGGGAAUUUUGGACAAUGGGGGCAACCCUGAUCCAGCAAUGCCGCGUGAGUGAGGAAGGCCUUCGGGUUGUAAAGCUCUUUUGUCAGGGAAGAAACACCGGCUCUAACACAGUCUGGGAAUGACGGUACCUGAAGAAUAAGCACCGGCUAACUACGUGCCAGCCGCCGCCGUAA
Molecule: ribosomal RNA, 501 nt
Filed under: uncultured bacterium
Lineage: Bacteria
Description: partial 16S ribosomal RNA
Rfam family: Bacterial small subunit ribosomal RNA
Source: RNAcentral